UACAGAGGGUGCGAGCGUUGUCCGGAAUCACUGGGCGUAAAGGGCGCGUAGGUGGUGGCUUAAGCGUGCGGUGAAAGCUCGGGGCUCAACUCCGAGUCGGCCGUGCGAACUGGGCUCACUGGAGCAUAGUAGAGGCAGGUGGAAUUCCGGGUGUAGCGGUGGAAUGCGUAGAGAUCCGGAAGAACACCGGUGGCGAAGGCGGCCUGCUGGGCUAUGGCUGACACUGAGGCGCAACAGCGUGGGGAGCAAACAGG
RNAcentral lists this ribosomal RNA (254 nucleotides) under uncultured bacterium. RNAcentral's name for it is "partial 16S ribosomal RNA". It matches the Rfam family "Bacterial small subunit ribosomal RNA", at positions 524 to 776 of the family's 1533-position model. The record is from RNAcentral.